CAUGGAGCCGACCUUGAAAUACCACCCUUUAAUGUUUGAUGUUCUAACGUUGACCCGUGAUCCGGGUUGCGGACAGUGUCUGGUGGGUAGUUUGACUGGGGCGGUCUCCUCCUAAAGAGUAACGGAGGAGCACGAAGGUUGGCUAAUCCUGGUCGGACAUCAGGAGGUUAGUGCAAUGGCAUAAGCCAGCUUGACUGCGAGCGUGACGGCGCGAGCAGGUGCGAAAGCAGGUCAUAGUGAUCCGGUGGUUCUGAAUGGAAGGGCCAUCGCUCAACGGAUAAAAGGUACUCCGGGGAUAACAGGCUGAUACCGCCCAAGAGUUCAUAUCGACGGCGGUGUUUGGCACCUCGAUGUCGGCUCAUCACAUCCUGGGGCUGAAGUAGGUCCCAAGGGUAUGGCUGUUCGCCAUUUAAAGUGGUACGCGAGCUGGGUUUAGAACGUCGUGAGACAGUUCGGUCCCUA
This 462-nucleotide ribosomal RNA is filed under the name Escherichia coli. Its description in RNAcentral is "partial 23S ribosomal RNA". It matches the Rfam family "Bacterial large subunit ribosomal RNA", at positions 2179 to 2640 of the family's 2925-position model. Lineage: Bacteria; Pseudomonadati; Pseudomonadota; Gammaproteobacteria; Enterobacterales; Enterobacteriaceae. The record is from RNAcentral.